This 152-nucleotide ribosomal RNA is filed under the name Vibrio parahaemolyticus. Its description in RNAcentral is "partial 16S ribosomal RNA". It matches the Rfam family "Bacterial small subunit ribosomal RNA", at positions 1 to 133 of the family's 1533-position model. The record is from RNAcentral. Lineage: Bacteria; Pseudomonadati; Pseudomonadota; Gammaproteobacteria; Vibrionales; Vibrionaceae.
UUAAAUUGAAGAGUUUGAUCAUGGCUCAGAUUGAACGCUGGCGGCAGGCCUAACACAUGCAAGUCGAGCGGAAACGAGUUAUCAGAACCUUCGGGGGACGAUAACGGCGUCGAGCGGCGGACGGGUGAGUAAUGCCUAGGAAAUUGCCCUGA